GGAGGAGACCGGCGCGGGUGCUGGAGGGCAUCCACAUUAAUCUGGAUAAAGGCUGCUUCUUCAGCCACAGCUAAGGUGCAUGUAAUAGGAAUGAGAGCCACCUGUGUUUCAGAAAGCGUCUGGGAUUUUAGAGCUGCUUGUAACUGCAGCCUAACACAGCCUCAGCCGACUGAUACAUCCAGUGUCGUCAAAACAGAGCAGUUAUCCUUCAUGAAUUCCACUGGGGAUUCUGCUAUACAGCUUCAUAAGAAACUCUGGGGGUAUCAUAUCUCAAACCAAGCUCCAUCUUCUUCCUCCAGUUUAAAAGACCAGCAUCUUCAUGGAGACAGUGACUGAAACCACAAAGUGAACCAAGCAGCCGGCUCAUUGUUUGAGAAACAGUUGUUUCAUGGGUGAAUUGACCUCAUCUUCGGCAGCCACCGGUUUGCUAAGCAUUUACUUUGAACAUUUCUAUG
RNAcentral lists this long non-coding RNA (455 nucleotides) under Homo sapiens (human). RNAcentral describes it as "HSALNT0099278". The record is from RNAcentral. Lineage: Eukaryota; Metazoa; Chordata; Mammalia; Primates; Hominidae.